RNAcentral lists this small nuclear RNA (329 nucleotides) under Ailuropoda melanoleuca (giant panda). Its description in RNAcentral is "7SK RNA". It matches the Rfam family "7SK RNA". From Rfam's summary of the family: 7SK was discovered as an abundant small nuclear RNA in the mid-70s but a possible function has only recently been suggested. Two independent studies have found that 7SK RNA binds the CDK9/cyclin T complex (known as elongation factor P-TEFb). The record is from Rfam by way of RNAcentral. Lineage: Eukaryota; Metazoa; Chordata; Mammalia; Carnivora; Ursidae.
GGAUAUGGAGGUGAUCUGGCUGUGACAUCUGUCUCCCCACUGAUCACCAAGGUUGAUUUGGCUGAUCCGGCUGGCUGGGCAAGUGUCCCCUUCCUCCCUUACCGCUCUAUGUGCGUCUCUCCAGGGGCUGCAUGCUGGUUGAAGAUGACGACCUUCCUUCAUAGAGAAGAACCAUUCUUCAGUCAAGGUUAUAAGAGUGGCUGAGCUCUCCUGCUAGAACCUCUGGACAAGCUCUCAAGGUCAAUUGGUAAGAGAAGGUAGGGUAGUCAGGCUUCCAAGGCUCCAGACAUAUCCAAAUGAGUAGCUGCAUCCAAUUGUCUGCCUUUCUU